This is a non-coding RNA of Camelina sativa (false flax), 404 nucleotides long. The record is from RefSeq and is a predicted model, not a curated record. NCBI's taxonomy places the organism in Eukaryota, Viridiplantae, Streptophyta, Magnoliopsida, Brassicales, Brassicaceae.
GGCUUUAUGUCACCAUCCACAGGUUUUUUCUAGCUCUCCCUGUCUCAAAAUCUUAGUCAAUAAGCUCCUCAGGUUUCGGGCCAGCCAAUACUGCAGCCAAGCAAUGGCCCUUAUUUUGAAGGAGAUUCUACCACGAUCCAAGGAAGCCUUUGAAGAACUAUUGCCAGAAUAUGAUUGUCUUUAGGGACUAGUUCCAGCCCAAUCAGUUCUGCUUGUCCUUGAUGCCCUUUUCUCUUCUGUUUUUGGUGGAACCUGUGCCAUUCAUGGUGCUUUUGGCUGUGGGAAAACUGUUAUCAGUCAGGCACUUUCCAAGAUGGAGAGAACUUGCGAGUUUCAGUAAAUAAACUCUUAAUGGGGAAACCAACAGAAAGCUUUAUCUGCGUCAUAUAGUAAGUGAAGUCAAC